RNAcentral lists this ribosomal RNA (253 nucleotides) under uncultured bacterium. RNAcentral's name for it is "partial 16S ribosomal RNA". It matches the Rfam family "Bacterial small subunit ribosomal RNA", at positions 524 to 776 of the family's 1533-position model. The record is from RNAcentral.
UACAGAGGUCCCAAGCGUUGUUCGGAUUCACUGGGCGUAAAGGGUGCGUAGGCGGUCGGGUAAGUCUGAUGUGAAAUCUCCAAGCCUAACUUGGAAACUGCGUUGGAUACUAUCCGGCUCGAGGAAUGGAGGGGAGACUGGAAUACUUGGUGUAGCAGUGAAAUGCGUAGAUAUCAAGUGGAACACCAGUGGCGAAGGCGAGUCCCUGGACAUUUCCUGACGCUGAGGCACGAAAGCCAGGGGAGCAAACGGG